This 468-nucleotide ribosomal RNA is filed under the name uncultured bacterium. RNAcentral's name for it is "bacterial SSU rRNA". It matches the Rfam family "Bacterial small subunit ribosomal RNA", at positions 355 to 825 of the family's 1533-position model. The record is from RNAcentral.
UCGGGAAUUUUGGGCAAUGGGCGCAAGCCUGAUCCAGCCAUGCCGCGUGCAGGAUGACGGUCCUAUGGAUUGUAAACUGCUUUUUGUACAGGAAGAAACAGUUCUACGUGUAGAACCUUGACGGUACUGUAAGAAUAAGGAUCGGCUAACUCCGUGCCAGCAGCCGCGGUAAUACGGAGGAUCCAAGCGUUAUCCGGAAUCAUUGGGUUUAAAGGGUCCGUAGGCGGUUAGAUAAGUCAGUGGUGAAAGCCCAUCGCUCAACGGUGGAACGGCCAUUGAUACUGUCUGACUUGAAUUAUUAGGAAGUAACUAGAAUAUGUAGUGUAGCGGUGAAAUGCUUAGAGAUUACAUGGAAUACCAAUUGCGAAGGCAGGUUACUACUAAUGGAUUGACGCUGAUGGACGAAAGCGUGGGUAGCGAACAGGAUUAGAUACCCUAGUAGUCCCUGAGCGGGCUGGCAAGGCGCAU